RNAcentral lists this ribosomal RNA (502 nucleotides) under uncultured Syndiniales. RNAcentral's name for it is "SSU rRNA". It matches the Rfam family "Eukaryotic small subunit ribosomal RNA", at positions 609 to 1129 of the family's 1831-position model. Lineage: Eukaryota; Dinophyceae; Syndiniales. The record is from RNAcentral.
GUUGUUGCGGUUAAAAGCUCCUAGUUGGAUUUCUGUCCAAAACGGCCGGUCCGCACUAUGUGCGUGUAUCUGGUUCGGUUUUGGCAUCCUCAUGAAGAACGUAACUGCGCUUGAUUGCGUGGUGCGGUAUUCAUGACUUUUACUUUGAGGAAAUUAGAGUGUUCACGGCAGGCAAGCGCCUUGAAUAUAUUAGCAUGGAAUAAUAAUAUAGGACAUGGGUUCUAUUUUGUUUAUGUAAUGAUUAAUAGGGAUAAUUGGGGGCAUUCGUAUUAACGCGUCAGAGGUGGAAUUCUUGGAUUGCGUUACUACGAACUACUGCGAAAGCAUUUGCCAAGGAUGUUUUCAUUGAUCAAGAACGAAAGUAUGGGGAUCGAAGAUGAUUAGAUACCGUCGUAGUCUAUACCAUAAACUAUGCCGACUAGAGAUUGGAGGUCGUUCUUUUUAUGACUCCUUCAGCACCUUAUGAGAAAUCAAAGUCUUUGGGUUCCGGGGGGAGUAUGGU